This 440-nucleotide ribosomal RNA is filed under the name uncultured bacterium. Its description in RNAcentral is "partial 16S ribosomal RNA". It matches the Rfam family "Bacterial small subunit ribosomal RNA", at positions 339 to 795 of the family's 1533-position model. The record is from RNAcentral.
CUACGGGGCGCUGCAGUGAGGAAUAUUGCACAAUGGGGGGAACCCUGAUGCAGCAACGCCGCGUGGAGGAUGACGCAUUUCGGUGUGUAAACUCCUUUUAUAUGUCAAGAAAAUGACGGUAGCAUAUGAAUAAGCACCGGCUAACUCCGUGCCAGCAGCCGCGGUAAUACGGAUGGGUGCAAGCGUUACUCGGAAUCACUGGGCGUAAAGGACGCGUAGGCGGGUUGGAAAGUCAGGUGUGAAAUCCUACAGCUUAACUGUAGAACUGCACUUGAAACUUCUAAUCUAGAGUAUGGGAGGGGGAGAUGGAAUUAGUGGUGUAGGGGUAAAAUCCGUAGAUAUCACUAGGAAUACCUAAAGCGAAGGCGAUCUCCUGGAACAUUACUGACGCUAAGGCGUGAAAGCGUGGGGAGCAAACAGGAUUAGAUACCCCAGUAGUC